This is a long non-coding RNA of Zootermopsis nevadensis, 685 nucleotides long. RefSeq lists it as uncharacterized. The record is from RefSeq and is a predicted model, not a curated record. Lineage: Eukaryota; Metazoa; Arthropoda; Insecta; Blattodea; Termopsidae.
UCCUACAUUGCCUUCAGCUACACAGGUUUUUUCAUAGCGUCCUCAGCAUUAUAUUUAAAUUAUGCAGUAUUCGAUCUGAUCGAUGAGGUUGAUGCACGCCAGUUGAAGUAACCGAAAUUUAUCACGUCGAUAAGAUUAUUUUCUAUUUAACGAUACGUCAGCUUCGAAAUCUUCCGCAGCCAGCAACGAGAAUUGAUCCUGUAGGAAGAAUUGCUAGAGGUUGCAACAGAGCAUCAUUAUUCUUCUCUCCGCUUUUAGUUGUGUGCUGCAAGCAGUUUCGUACAGCAAGAGGCAUUUGUCACUUCGUGUGUGCACACAUGCGACAUUCAACAAACGACACACCAAAAUGCAGAAGGAGCUGCACUCAUAAGUUGAUGGCAACGUUCUCUUCAAACUGAACGACUACACGGUGCAAAAUUCCAGAAGAUAUCCAACUUCACAAUGGACUACGGACCAAGAGGGACGCAAGUGGAUACAAUUGUAUCCUAAGCCUAUAUAACAGUAUUUAUCAUGCAGACAUCAGGGAGGCUCUGACAGCCAUUGUUCAUUUGAUUUUUUCCCAAUUAAUUUAAUAUCUACAUAAAACUCUUGGUUCACAUGGCUCAUGUUUUGAACAAAUAGUGUUCAAAGUUUGUAUUCAGAAUCGUGGACAUGAAGAUUUCUCGGAAGAAAGGGCUGAUGUCAG